AUCGAUCUCUAGCCAUGAGGGGUCGUCGCCGUAACGUUUUCGGAGGUGACAUCACUUCGACAACCUGCACGAUCUUGGAUUUCUUGGAAAGGAACGGUAACCCGCGGCUUCCUACCGAUAGGGCCCGUUUGCUUCCUCGGAACCCGCGGCCUUCCACCGAUGGGGUCCGUAUGCUUCCUCGGCCCGUCAUUCUGGCGGCGGCGGAGGCUUCGCGCCUUCGCGCUUUGGAGCGGAAUGGGGAAUCUUCUCAGAAGAAGGAUAAUUAGCUUGUUUUUUUUGUAAUUUUUUGUUCUAAGGGCGACUUAAUGUUUUGUCGGCCAUGUAAUCUGUCGCCCGUACCGAAUGAACGUAAUCGGCCCGAAUGAAUGUAAUCGGCCGUUCCGGUCGACUUUAUGUGUGUCUUAAAACCGAAUCGUAUCGGUCAUGUAUGAUCGUGUUAAUUCCUUUAGGCGCCGACCCAUAUACUUGGGUAAUACCUUUUUAAGUAUCUCCCAUUCAGAGCUCUAGUGAAUUC
RNAcentral lists this long non-coding RNA (514 nucleotides) under Setaria viridis. RNAcentral describes it as "long non-coding RNA (SVIR_LNC008064)". The record is from RNAcentral. Lineage: Eukaryota; Viridiplantae; Streptophyta; Magnoliopsida; Poales; Poaceae.